UUUCCUCUCUUUAUAUGUUCCCUAGCAUUAGUGACAAAGUGGUUCCACUUGGACCACACCUUUUUCUAGUUCUCAACGUGACUUGGCCACCUAUGACCACUAUCUUUUAAAUUCAAUGGUGCCCCAGGCACAGCUCCCAACUAUAGCUACAAAACUGAAACAUGUGCACUGAUCCAAAGUUGGAAUCAAAUCCGCCCCCAGAGCAAAUCAUGCCAAGGUUGAAUGCCUCUUUUUUAAUGCUU
RNAcentral lists this long non-coding RNA (242 nucleotides) under Setaria italica (foxtail millet). Its description in RNAcentral is "long non-coding RNA (SITA_LNC004415)". The record is from RNAcentral. Lineage: Eukaryota; Viridiplantae; Streptophyta; Magnoliopsida; Poales; Poaceae.